This 466-nucleotide ribosomal RNA is filed under the name uncultured bacterium. RNAcentral describes it as "bacterial SSU rRNA". It matches the Rfam family "Bacterial small subunit ribosomal RNA", at positions 338 to 795 of the family's 1533-position model. The record is from RNAcentral.
CCUANGGGGGGCAGCAGUGGGGAAUAUUGCGCAAUGGGGGAAACCCUGACGCAGCAACGCCGCGUGGGUGAUGAAGGCCUUCGGGUCGUAAAGCCCUGUCGGGUGGGACGAAUUGAUCGCGGGUGAACAAUCCGCGGUCUUGACGGUACCACCAAAGGAAGCACCGGCUAACUCCGUGCCAGCAGCCGCGGUAAUACGGAGGGUGCAAGCGUUGUUCGGAAUUACUGGGCGUAAAGAGCUUGUAGGCGGCUUGCUAAGUCCGAUGUGAAAGCCCUCGGCUCAACCGGGGAAGUGCAUUGGAUACUGGCGAACUUGAGUAUGGGAGAGGAGAGCGGAAUUCCCGGUGUAGAGGUGAAAUUCGUAGAUAUCGGGAGGAACACCAGUGGCGAAGGCGGCCACCUGGACGGUGACUGACGCUGAGACGCGAAAGCGUGGGGAGCAAACAGGAUUAGAUACCCGGNUANUC